AAAACCUAGUCUCAGUUCGGAUUGGAGUCUGCAACCCGACUCCAUGAAGCUGGAUUCGCUAGUAAUCGCGCAUCAGCCACGGCGCGGUGAAUACGUUCCCGGGCCUUGUACACACCGCCCGUCAAGCCAUGGAAGCCGGGAGUGCCUGAAGUGCGUGACCGCAAGGAGCGUCCUAAGGCAAUACCGGUGACUGGGGCUAAGUCGUAACAAGGUAAC
This 216-nucleotide ribosomal RNA is filed under the name uncultured bacterium. RNAcentral describes it as "partial 16S ribosomal RNA". It matches the Rfam family "Bacterial small subunit ribosomal RNA", at positions 1277 to 1500 of the family's 1533-position model. The record is from RNAcentral.